UACACACCGCCCGUCAAGCCACGAAAUGGGGGGCAUCCGAAGUCGCCAAGCUAACCGCAAGGGAGCAGGCGCCGAAGAUGAACUCCGUGAUUGGGACU
This 98-nucleotide ribosomal RNA is filed under the name uncultured bacterium. RNAcentral describes it as "partial 16S ribosomal RNA". It matches the Rfam family "Bacterial small subunit ribosomal RNA", at positions 1384 to 1482 of the family's 1533-position model. The record is from RNAcentral.